Long non-coding RNA from Daphnia magna, 975 nucleotides. RefSeq lists it as uncharacterized. The record is from RefSeq and is a predicted model, not a curated record. The transcript has 6 exons. NCBI's taxonomy places the organism in Eukaryota, Metazoa, Arthropoda, Branchiopoda, Diplostraca, Daphniidae.
ACCGUAGAAAGGUUGGCAUUAUUGAAACUUUCUGAAUCGCGUUGUCAUCUUUCAUUUUGCCACAUUAUCAAGACCAUUUUCUUCUUUCCGACUGCGAUUACAAGGAAAAAAUACGAUUAGUUUCGACUCACUGCAUACGACAAGAGGGUUUUUCAAACGGGUGCUCUUCAUUUAGUCAAUGUUGUUUUAUUCAUCAAUUAAUUUAACAUGAUAAAAGCAUGGUAUAGGAGUUAUAUGGUACGCGUACUUCCCAGAGCCGUCGACUGCGAAAAUGGGACGAAAAUUGGAAUCGUCAACAUCGGCAACUCUGGCCGGGUGUGUAACUAGAGGGCCUACUUUAACGUAGGCUCUUAUGGGACUACCCCUUUUUAAUGGUUAUAUUAAGGUGUUUGAAUUUUUUUUUUCAUUUAAAAAAAUGUGUAUCGUGCGUAGAAUUAAUUUUUAUGCAAAGUCCAUUUUUUGGAAUUUAAUUUAAAAAUGCUUGUAUAAUAAAAAAAAAAUUAAAAUGGUCCAAGAAUUUCUGAAAGUCUUUAACUUUCCACUUCUGCUAGACAGUUCCACAUUAUAUAUAAAAAGCGGAAUUUGUUCUUUGGAGCAGUUACGUUGCGUCUCGUUGGACGUAGAUUGUUUACAUUUUUGCUGGUCGAUUCGCCAUUGUUUGUAGCCCUAAUUUCAAAAACGGUAACGAACAGUGGCAUUUACACAUAGUGGCAGUGAAAGUAAAUGUGAGGCAGUGGUGGUAAAAGUCUGCUGUUAGGAGUUCUUCAGUAGUCUGCAAGGUCGACUCAUAAUGAAUACAAUUCAUAAAGAAUAAUUUUAAUUGAAGAGUAAAGUCAUAAUGUUGCAGUCAUCAUAAGUAAAGUAUUCUCUUCACACUUGUCACAAAACAAUGAAUGUCAUUUUGUCCAAAUUCAACUCGAACAAAUGAAAACAUGAAACUAGUCGGAACUAAUACACUUUGAUAUUAAAAAGGAA